UGCCAGCCGCCGCGGUAAUACGGAGGGUGCGAGCGUUAAUCGGAAUUACUGGGCGUAAAGCGCACGCAGGCGGUUUGUUAAGCUAGAUGUGAAAGCCCCGGGCUCAACCUGGGAUGGUCAUUUAGAACUGGCAGACUAGAGUCUUGGAGAGGGGAGUGGAAUUCCAGGUGUAGCGGUGAAAUGCGUAGAUAUCUGGAGGAACAUCAGUGGCGAAGGCGGCUCCCUGGGACAGUUCUGACGCUGAGGGACGAAAGCGUGGGUAGCAAACCGGAUUAGAUA
Molecule: ribosomal RNA, 279 nt
Filed under: uncultured bacterium
Lineage: Bacteria
Description: partial 16S ribosomal RNA
Rfam family: Bacterial small subunit ribosomal RNA
Source: RNAcentral